AGUGAGGCCUGGACUAAGGCGUUGCCAGCUGUCCCUAAGGUGGCUGAGCCUAUGUCAUCUUGAGCUUCUCAGAGCCACAGUUACAAUAAAGGGGGUUUCUCUAGGAUGUGCUAAAAGCCAAACUCACUAAGAAGCUGAGACCUCCACCAACAGACUGCGUGACAUGGCACAUCCACUCCUGGCAGCAUGUCUUUGUUGUCUUUGAGCUGAUUUCCAUAUGAUUGUUGGGAUGAGAUGAACGAGACCACCCGGAGGGGGCUGAACUGAGUGAUACAGAUUAUGAGGAAGCUUUCAGGGUUGGAGUCCCAUGGCUAAUGGUGUGAAAAGGUUUCCUGGAGGAGUGUAAUAUGUGUGUAGUCUUGGAUAGGGCUGGGCAAGAGGGAAAUGAGUGAAGAUAAUAGUAUCUACAAAGACAUGCCGCUAAGAGUAGAUGUGGCUUAUCUUAUCCAAUUUCCUCAUUCUUGAUGAAUGAGCAUAGCACAGGACCAAAUAUAUAGUAGGAGGUAUGCAAGAAAUGAGACUUGAAUCUGGAAUUGGAACUGAACUGGAAUUGACCCUUACUCAAUACAAAAAUAAGCCUGAAAUCCUGACCACAAUUGAAUGAAGGACCGGGUCUUCCUGCCAGUCCAUUAAACGUAACUCUGUAAGCUGCAGCUUAAGAUGAUGCAACAGACCAGACGAAGGAGAUGGGAAGGGAACAGCUCCAGCUCCCAAGGAUCAAUACAUGAAAAUAGGGUCACAUCGUGAAAUGAACUAGUUUCUGUUCUUGUGGAAAGCUCCAUGGUUUUCCUCUUUUUGUUCCAUCUGAGAGAUUAAUUCUAGAAUAAAGUAUUUCAAAUAUCAAACUAA
Canis lupus familiaris (dog) is the source of this 849-nucleotide long non-coding RNA. RefSeq lists it as uncharacterized. The transcript is spliced from 2 exons. NCBI's taxonomy places the organism in Eukaryota, Metazoa, Chordata, Mammalia, Carnivora, Canidae. The record is from RefSeq and is a predicted model, not a curated record.